Molecule: ribosomal RNA, 468 nt
Filed under: uncultured bacterium
Lineage: Bacteria
Description: partial 16S ribosomal RNA
Rfam family: Bacterial small subunit ribosomal RNA
Source: RNAcentral
GACGAACGCUGGCGGCGUGCUUAACACAUGCAAGUCGAACGGAAAGGCCCUGCUUUUGUUGGGUGCUCGAGUGGCGAACGGGUGAGUAACACGUGUGUAACAUGCCCUUGAAUUUGGGAUAUCUUCAGGAAACUGGGGCUCAUACAGGAUAGGAGCUUUUGCUGCACGUGGGGGAUAGGAAAGUUUCGGCGGUUGGGGCUGGACUGGAGGGUUAUCAGCUUGUUUGUGAGGUAGUGACUUACAAAGGUUGUGACGGGUAGCAGGCAUGGGAGGUUUGCCGGCCACAUUGCGACUGAGGGACGGAGCAGUCUGCUACGGUCGGCAGCAGGCGAGAAUAUUGCACGAUGGGCGGGAGCGUGAUGCAGCAGUCCCGCGUGCGGAAUGACGGGCUACGGGUUGUAAACAGAUUUCGAAUGUGAUGAAGCGUGAGUGACGGUAAUGGGUAAGGAAGCAACGGCUAACUACGUG